Molecule: long non-coding RNA, 559 nt
Filed under: Homo sapiens (human)
Lineage: Eukaryota; Metazoa; Chordata; Mammalia; Primates; Hominidae
Description: HSALNT0205355
Source: RNAcentral
ACUUUACACAAUUUGCAUAAAGAUGAGUUGGUUUUUAACAGUGUUCUUUUGCCUGCUGUAUUGUGUGUUCUAUGUUGUUUUGAUGUAGUUUCUGUUUAUAAAUACUAACAUCCUCCUUUCUCAAGACAUUCAGUCAUGUCAAGUGUAACCUAUGGAUUUUUCUGGGUUUACUUAGUAAAGAUUUAUGAAUGAAUAAGUCAAUGAAGAAAAAAUGUUCCUUUCAUGCAGAUUUUACUUUAUAAUAUGACAGGGAACACACAUCAUAGUAAAGUAUGUUUGCAUAUAUAGGAUAUAGUAACAUAAAAUUAAAAAUAAUGAAAAUUAAUAUGUUAACAAAAGCAGUAUGUGGUCAUACUUGUGGAAUGAAUGUAUUUGGUAGUGUGAAAUACCAAAAACCUCUAUUGCUUGAUAUUUUCAAUGUUAACCCCCAAAUGGUGGUGGUAGUUUUCUUAAACAUAGGACAAAAUGACGUGCAUGGUGAGGGAUAAAGUACAUUUUUCUAGAAACACAUUUGCUUUCUGUUUUAUGAUUAGGUAUAGAAUGUUUGCUGUAGGCCAAC